Molecule: ribosomal RNA, 253 nt
Filed under: uncultured bacterium
Lineage: Bacteria
Description: partial 16S ribosomal RNA
Rfam family: Bacterial small subunit ribosomal RNA
Source: RNAcentral
UACGUAGGGUGCAAGCGUUGUCCGGAAUUAUUGGGCGUAAAGAGCUCGUAGGCGGCUUGUCGCGUCUGCCGUGAAAACCCAGGGCUCAACUCUGGGCGUGCGGUGGGUACGGGCAGGCUAGAGUGUGGUAGGGGAGACUGGAACUCCUGGUGUAGCGGUGAAAUGCGCAGAUAUCAGGAAGAACACCGAUGGCGAAGGCAGGUCUCUGGGCCAUUACUGACACUGAGAAGCGAAAGCAUGGGGAGCGAACAGG